RNAcentral lists this ribosomal RNA (253 nucleotides) under uncultured bacterium. RNAcentral describes it as "partial 16S ribosomal RNA". It matches the Rfam family "Bacterial small subunit ribosomal RNA", at positions 524 to 776 of the family's 1533-position model. The record is from RNAcentral.
UACGUAGGCAGCGAGCGUUGUUCGGAGUUACUGGGCGUAAAGCGUAUGCAGGCGGACUUUUAAGUCGGGGGUGAAAUCCCGAGGCUCAACCUCGGAACUGCCUUCGAUACUGGAAGUCUUGAGUCCGGGAGAGGUGAGUGGAACUCCGAGUGUAGAGGUGAAAUUCGUAGAUAUUCGGAAGAACACCAGUGGCGAAGGCGGCUCACUGGCCCGGUACUGACGCUGAGAUACGAAAGCGUGGGGAGCAAACAGG